AGUGAACGCUGGCGGUGUGCUUAACACAUGCAAGUCGAACGAGAACGGACUAAAGUUUACUUUAGUUGUCAGCUAAGUGGCGCACGGGUGAGUAAUCUAUAGCUAACCUACCCUAAAGAGGGGGAUAAUUAAUGGAAACGUUUUGUAAUACCCUAUACCUCUUAUCUACACAAGUGUAUAAGAGAAAACUUUAGUGCUUUAGGAUGGGGCUGUAUUGUAUCAGCUAGUUGGUGGUGUAAUGGACCACCAAGGCUAUGACGCAUAACUGGUUUGAGAGGAUGAUCAGUCACAUUGGGACUGAGAUACGGCCCAGACCGCUACGGUGGGCAGCAGUAGGGAAUUUUUCACAAUGAACGAAAGUUUGAUGGAGCAAUACUGUGUGCAGGAAGAGGGUCUUCGGAUUGUAAACUGCUGUCGUAAGGAAGAAAUGCUUUUAGAGGAAAUGCUAAAAAGUUUGACGGUACUUUAUAAGAAAGUCACGGCUAACUAUGUGCCAGCCGCCGCGGUAAU
RNAcentral lists this ribosomal RNA (510 nucleotides) under uncultured bacterium. RNAcentral's name for it is "bacterial SSU rRNA". It matches the Rfam family "Bacterial small subunit ribosomal RNA", at positions 29 to 524 of the family's 1533-position model. The record is from RNAcentral.